AUAAGAUAGUUUCAUUUAUUUUGUGGGCUUGUAUGUUUUAGAAAUGGUAGCCCAUGGGUAAAAAUGGGGGAUUAAAAUACCAUCUUAGCCCAUGUGAAAAUUGACAAGUUUUAGCCCCACUUUAUUCUCAUUUCUAUUUAAGCUUGAGGGGUAUCUUGGUAAUCACAUUGGCUCCUCCUUUCCUUAAUUCACGCAUCUCUCUCCCAUUUUCCCCACUUGUUGACUUUUCUCACUUAAGGAUAGGGCCCACACUUGUUUCCUUUCUUUUUGGUUUCACAUGGCUCACUCUUCUUACACGUGAUUCCCAUCAAUAAACAAAGACAAACAAAAACAAGCAGCACACUUCUCUCCCUCCCACUUCUUCUCUCUCUUCCUUUUCUCCUUCUUUUUCUCUUUUCCCCUUUUCUCUCCCCCUGUUUCACGGCAGCAGCAGCCCUCACCAUUUCUUUUCUCUUCUUCCUCCCUUCUCCCUUGUCACGCACGCACAGCAGCUCGCCUCUUCUCUUUCCCUUCCCUUUCUUCUUCCUCUUCUCUCACUCGCACUCACGCACGCAUAGCAACCCAUGAGAGAGCCCGAAGUGCAGAAAUGCCGAGAGAGAGAACAGAUCGUGAGAGAGAGAUUUUGAAAUGGAAGCUGUCCAGCCAUGGGUAGAAGAAGAAAAGAUGGGGUUUUUGGCCAUGGACGUCUGGUGAGGAUCGUGUUAUAAUUGGAGACUUCAAUGGGUUCUCCAAUGUAGAGUCCAAAUGACUAGAGUCCAAGGAGUGUUCGAGUUGGAGUCUAAUGCAGCCAAGAUGAUGUUUCUUUGGCUGCAGGUACUACGGUAUAGUCGAUGGGUCGGUAGCAGUGUGCUUGGGAUAUUAUGACUGAAGCUCACCGCGACAGUUGUAAUUGUCGGAUCACGGGUUGUCCACUAUUUUAUAGGUUUGGUAUGGCUUGUGACGUUUGUGUCACUUAUUCUUUGUUAAGCCAUUAUUGUUAUUGUGUUAAUAAGACUUAAGCAUAUAGAUGUUAAAUGGCUCUUUGUUGUAAUUAACUUAUGAUAGAUGUAUAAGUUGUAAUUUCCGCUAUUCAAAUUUA
Long non-coding RNA from Alnus glutinosa, 1078 nucleotides. RefSeq lists it as uncharacterized. NCBI's taxonomy places the organism in Eukaryota, Viridiplantae, Streptophyta, Magnoliopsida, Fagales, Betulaceae. The transcript has 3 exons. The record is from RefSeq and is a predicted model, not a curated record.